This 550-nucleotide ribosomal RNA is filed under the name uncultured Glomeraceae. Its description in RNAcentral is "SSU rRNA". It matches the Rfam family "Eukaryotic small subunit ribosomal RNA", at positions 548 to 1098 of the family's 1831-position model. Lineage: Eukaryota; Fungi; Glomeromycota; Glomeromycetes; Glomerales; Glomeraceae. The record is from RNAcentral.
UUGGAGGGCAAGUCUGGUGCCAGCAGCCGCGGUAAUUCCAGCUCCAAUAGCGUAUAUUAAAGUUGUUGCAGUUAAAAAGCUCGUAGUUGAAUUUCGGGGUUAGUAGGUUGGUCAUGCCUCUGGUAUGUACUGAUCUCACUGAUUCCUCCUUCCUGAUGAGCCGUAAUGCCAUUAAUUUGGUGUUGCGGGGAAUUUGGACUGUUACUUUGAAAAAAUUAGAGUGUUUAAAGCAGGCUUAUGUCUGAAUAUAUUAGCAUGGAAUAAUGAAAUAGGACGGCAUGGUUCUAUUUUGUUGGUUUCUAGGAUCACCGUAAUGAUUAAUAGGGAUAGUUGGGGGCAUUAGUAUUCAAUUGUCAGAGGUGAAAUUCUUGGAUUUAUUGAAGACUAACUUCUGCGAAAGCAUUUGCCAAGGAUGUUUUCAUUAAUCAAGAACGAAAGUUAGGGGAUCGAAGACGAUCAGAUACCGUCGUAGUCUUAACCAUAAACUAUGCCGACUAGGGAUCGGACGAAGUUAAUUUUAUAAUGACGCGUUCGGCGCCUUACGGGAAAC